This 7886-nucleotide unclassified non-coding RNA is filed under the name Hevea brasiliensis (rubber tree). Lineage: Eukaryota; Viridiplantae; Streptophyta; Magnoliopsida; Malpighiales; Euphorbiaceae. The record is from RNAcentral.
GAAAAAGGCCGGGGAGUCAAAAUCCCGACUCAAAUGAGAAAAAGAAGAUGGUAAGAGUAAUCUCCCGAUUGCAUAGACGAAUAUGCAGAAAACCCUUUUACUUCCAAUGGAGAAAUCUCUCCUACAUAACCCAUCAGCUACCUUUAGACCCUCCUCAGAUUGACCAUAACAUAGCCUCAGUUCAGUACAUUUUUUUGAACCCAUGUUUUUAUCUUCUGGGUCUCUGCAAAAACAUCCAUUCUCUCAAGAAAAUUCAUGGGUUGCUCAUUGUUGAUGGUCUUGCUGGUGAUCUUUUAUGCAGUACCAAAUUGGUUAGCUUGUAUGGUUCGUUUGGGUGCAUUGAUGAUGCGCGCUUGUUGUUUGAUAGAAUACCUAACCCAGACCUUUAUUCUUGGAAAGUGAUGCUAAGGUGGUAUUUUUUGAACGAUUUGUAUUGGGAGAUUAUUGGACUUCAUACCCGUAUGAGAAUGUGCCUGAGAGAGCAUGAUAAUGUUGUUUUCUCGAUUGUGUUGAAGGCGUGCAGUGAAUUGCGAAAUAUUGAUGAAGGGAGGAAAAUACACUGUCAAAUUAUUAAAGCAGUUAAUCCUGAUAGUUUCGUGCUGACUGGUCUUGUAGAUAUGUAUGCAAAGUGUGGAGAGAUUGAGUGUUCUCGUGGUGUGUUUGAUGAAUGUCUCGAUAGAAAUGUGGUCUCUUGGACUUCAAUGAUUGCGGGGUAUGUACAGAACGAUUGCCCAGUGGAAGGUUUGAUUUUGUUCAAUAGAAUGAGAGAAGGGUUGAUUGCGGCUAACCAAUUUACCGUAGGCAGCUUAGUUACUGCAUGCACAAAAUUAGGGGCUUUGCAUCAAGGGAAGUGGGUUCAUGGAUACGCAAUCAAGAACGGCGUGGAACUUAAUUCUUACGUUGUGACAGCACUUCUAGACAUGUAUGUCAAGUGUGGAGUCAUUAGAGAUGCUAGGUCUUUAUUUGAUAAGCUAUCUAGUAUUGAUCUCGUCUCCUGGACGGCUAUGAUUGUUGGCUAUACCCAGAGUGGCUCCUCUAAUGAGGCUUUGAAGUUGUUUAUGGAUAAGAAAUGGGUUGAUAUCUCGCCCAAUAAUGUUACCAUUGUAAGUGUAUUAUCAGCAUGUGCACAGUUGGGCAAUUUGAAUUUGGGAAGGUCAGUUCAUGGUCUUGGUAUUAAACUUGGGUUUGAGGAACCUGCUGUUGUAAAUGCUCUGGUGGACAUGUAUGCAAAAUGCCGUAUGAAUAGAGAUGCCCGUUACAUAUUUGAGACCGUUUCAGACAAGGAUGUUGUUGCUUGGAAUUCUAUUAUUUCUGGGUAUAAUCAGAAUGGGUCUGCAUAUGAAGCCCUUGAAUUGUUUCGUCAGAUGAGAAUGGACUCUCUCUUGCCUGAUGCAGUUACAUUGGUAAGCGUUUUCUCAGCAUGUGCUUUCAUUGGCGCUCUUCGAGUUGGUUCUUCUCUCCAUGCUUACUCUAUAAAGGGGGGUCUUUUAUCUUCGAAUGUCUAUGUUGGCACUGCACUUUUGACCUUUUAUGCCAAAUGUGGGGAUGCUAAAUCCGCGCGUACAAUUUUUGAUGGUAUGGGAGAGAAAAACACUGUCACAUGGAGUGCAAUGAUUGGUGGUUAUGGAAUUCAAGGGGAUGGUGGUGGGUCCCUUGCCCUUUUCAAUGAUAUGUUGGGGGAAGAAUUGAAACCAAAUGAAGUAAUCUUCACAGCCAUUUUAUCUGCAUGUAGUCAUACAGGGAUGGUUGGGGAGGGAUGGAAUCUAUUCAUUUCGAUGUGCCAAGAAUAUAACUUUGUGCCUUCCAAUAAGCAUUAUGCAUGCAUGGUUGAUCUAUUGGCUCGUUCUGGGAGGCUUGAAGAAGCCUGGGACUUCAUUGAGAAAAUGCCAGUUCAACCGGAAGUUAGUUUGUUUGGAGCAUUUCUCCAUGGAUGUGGGCUGCAUUCAAGGUUUGAUCUUGGAGAGAUAGCAAUCAGGAGAAUGCGAGAGUUACAUCCUGACAAAGCUUGUUAUUAUGUGCUUAUGUGUAAUUUGUACGCUUCUGAUGGAAGAUGGAAUCAGGUCAAGGAGGUAAGAGAGUUGAUGAAGCACAAAGGAUUAAUCAAAACCCCAGGGUGUAGCCUGAUGGAGAUGGAUACUGAUUAUGAUUUCUCAUUGCCUAGAGUUGCUUCUUUUUCAUAGACCAUGGUUUUACUUAAAAACACAAAUCAUGGGAUCAGCAGGGUCAAGGUUGCCAAAACAGGACGUAUUUAUUGUCAAUGUGGAGUUCACUAAAAGCCCUUCUGUUCAAUAAUGUAAAAUGUUUGAUUACAUGAGCUGGCCCCAAGUACUAGGGUGAAAGAUUCUUAUCAAUGGAUCAAUAGAUCUGCAGGCAUGGGAUGCAUGAUACAAGCAGAUGUUGAGUUUCUAAGAAAACAUAAAGUAUGAUCAAUUGAGGAGAUGAUAAUAGGACAUGCGAUGCCAGUUCUUCUAAAAACUUCUGUUUUGAGGAUAUUCUAUUGUUGAUAUUACCCUAAAGUUCUUUGGUUCUUGAAACAUGGCCACGAAGGAGCAAGAAAGCUUCCUAUCUGGGUGAUCACUUCUUGACAAGCUGAUGAGUAUGAUGAUGAUAUGAAAGUGAGUACAAGCUCCAAAGUGUAGCCAGGUAAUGUUGGCCAAGUUCAUGAACGCAAGCAAUGAGAACAGGCUCUGAAAUCGAUUGACCAUCGACUAGUGAUUGAGUUUAUAUCAAAAUAUCUACUGCCAAAUCUCAAAAAAUAGAAGAGAUGAUAAAUAAGAUUGGGUUAUAAAUUUGUAAUGCAUUCUGCCUUGGUUUCAUUAUUGGUGCAACUGGAUAAGUUACAUACUUGUUCCAGAGCCAAACUUUGAAAAUUUUCCAAAAGGCUGUACAUUUCUUUUAUUCGCCAAUGAGAUACAUCUCCUGCUCCAAAUCUAUAGAUUUUCUUUUCAAGUUCAAUUGUACUGUAUCCUGGGACCUUCUUCAGUCCUAUACAUUUCAUUACUGAUCUCACCUUCCUAGAUUCAUCCCAAUUACCAGCUUCUGCAUAAAUAUUAGACAAUAAGGUGUAAUAUCCAGUAUCAUCCGUCCUCGUGUCUAACAGAUCUCUUUCAAUUCGUCGGAUCAUAUCUAUUCUCUGGUGAAUUCGACAGCCAUUAAGUAAAGCACCCCAAAUGCAAGCUUCUGCAGGGAAUGGCAUUGAUUUUAUUAUUCUGUAGGCUUCACUGAGAUUACCAACACGACUUAGAAGGUCCACCAUACAAGCAAAGUGUUCUGAGCUAGGAUCGACGCCAAAAUCCUUCAUCAAGUUAAAAUAAAACUUGCCUUCUUCCACAUACCCUGCAUGACUGCAAGCUGAUAGAAUGUUCAUGAAGGUAAUGUCAUUUGGUUUUAUACCCAACCGAACCAUUUGAGUGAAGAGUGAUAUUGAGGCAUCAACAUUACCAUGCAUUCCAUAUCCAGCAAUCAUGACACUCCAUGACACCACACUCCUUUCUAACAUGCUAUCGAAAACUACUUGGGCUGUCUGAAGGUCUCCACACUUUGCAUACAUGUCAAUUAGAGCAGUAUCAACAUAAAGAUCCUUCUUUAUACCAUAGGUAAUGAGUUUGUGGUGAAGCCAUUUUCCCUUUUCAAGAUGUCCCAUCUGGGAGCAAGCCUGAAUUGCAGCUAAGAAGGUCACUUCAUUCAUGUCAAGACAGUUAAGAUACAUUUGAUCAAAGAGAUUAAUCGCUUCUGAUGAAUUACCAUUCUGACAAAAUCCACAAAUCAUAGAAUUCCAAGCUACAACACUCUUGAAUUGGAUCCUGUCAAAUAACAGGUAUGCUAAAUCCAUGAGACCACAUUUUGAGUACACAUCAAUUAGUGAAUUCAGGACAAACUCAUCCAGAAUGUGUCUUUUAAUGGCGUAACCAUGUAAUUGACGCCCAAGCUGUAGGAAACCCACAUUUGCACAGGCUGAGAUCGAGCUUGACAAGCUAAAAGAGUCUGGUAUUAGCCCUUGUGUCUGCAUCUGCACAAAUAGUGCUAAUGCCUCCAACAACAACCCGCGUGAAGCAUACAGUGAUAUGAGCAUAUUCCAUGAUACAAUAUUUCUCUUCCCAAUAGUAUGAAGAACAUUCUCACAAUACCUAAAUUGCCCACAUUUGGCAUAUAAUUCUAUUAAUGUUGGCCCUAAAGAACCAUCAUUAAGCUCCAUAUGCUUAGCAAUAUAACAAUGAACCGACUUCCCUUCUUUAAACAGGCUAAACCCAGCACAAGAACCUAGAACAGCCAUCAUGGUAACUGUAUUUGACUCCACUUUAGAUUCUAGCAUCUCAACAAAAACUUCUAGUGCCUCUUUAAAACGACCACCUCGAUUAUAGCAGGAAAUCAUAGCUGUCCAUGAAGCUACACUUUGGUUAAACAUAUUUACGAAGAUCCUCUCUGCACUAGAAAAAUCACCGCACUUGCUAUACAUUACAAUAAGAGAGUCAUCCAAAGGACCGUGACUUCCAAUUCUCCUCCUCACUACGUAACCAUGUAACGAUCUGGCUAGCCUCGAAAAACCCAGUUCACCGCAUGCCUCGGCAAUGCUAAGCAUUGUCACAGAAUCCAAUUCAACCCCUUUCAAUACCAGUGAGCGAAACAUCUCCAACCCUUCACUUGCCUCCCCAUUAUCAACAUAAGAGGAAAUAAUUGAACUCCACGAAAUCAAAUCUCUCACCGACAUAUUAUCAAACACCCUCCUGGCAUCAUUUGUGCAACCUAAAUCUCCAUACAUACCGAGAAGCGAGGUCUCAACAACAGCAUCAAUAUCAAAUCCACAUUUGAUUACUUUCCCAUGGACUUUUUCACCAAUUCCCAAAUCACCAAAACCAGCACAAGCUCUUAAAACUGAAGAAAAUAUGAAUUCGUUAAUCCGGAUUUCGUUGUACAGCAUUUGAUUAUACAGUGAAAUGGCCUCCCCAAAGAAAUGGGACCAUACAUGACACUUAAUGAGGACGCCCCACAUGAAAGAAUCGGGGUUAUGGAAGGUUUGAAAGACAAGUCUAGAGGAAUGAAGGGAACCCAUUUGAGAAUAGGACUCAAUAAGCUUGGUAGAAGCUUGGGUGUCAUUGUGGAGGCCGGUUACCAAGAGAUGUGCAUGGAGUUGGGUGAGAAGUCUUAAGCUUGCGCAGGACCUGCGCGAUUAAAGCUCAAGGCCAGCAGAAUAAAUUGGUCCUAAAUAGCUCCAAGGCCCACGCUGAGAUCGGCUCAUCGGCUACACGGCAUUUUAAUAAUUAUGGUACUAUAAAUUUGAGAAAUAAGAAAAACUUGAUGAAUUUGAGAUUGAGAAAAAUAAAAAUUGAAUGUAAUUAUUGUAUGAAAACAAUAAUUAUUUAGGAAUUUAGAGUAUAUAGAUAUGAGAAUAACUAGAAGAAUAAGAGGAGAAUUGAAAGCUUGAGAGUUGAGAUAUUGGAAGAACGAGGGAAGUAGAGAAAUGUUGAUGGGUGGGUAAUUAUAGGAUUUUUUUUUAAAUUUUUUUAUAGGAUUUAAAAAAAAAAUUAUUUUUUUAAUCUUUUCAAAGUAUCUCUAAAACUAGUGAUGAUAAACCAUAACACAUAAGAUGGUGAAAAGAUAGUCAAGCCGCGGACCUCAUGUGUUAUGGCUGUGAUAAAUAAACCAGUGAUUAUCUUUUCACCACCUUUGUGUUAUGGCUGUGAUGCGAUUGGGAACCUCAUGGACAUGCAAACGCCCAAGCCGAGGCAUAAGUUUCGAUUACUGAAGUUCUGUGCUUAAGAGCAUAAAUAAAAGUGAACGCAAAAGAACAUGUGAAUUGAUUUCUCCAAGUUGUUUCUCAUGUCUUCAAUGUAACUGGAACUACAACAUUGAGAAAGAAAGAGAGGUUGAGAAGUAUGGAAGGGAGGGAUUCAUAUGUUGAUCUACAUCAUAUACAAGGUAUUCUGGCAAUUCUGCCACAUUGCCUGGACAAUUAAAAGUCGAAUCUCCUGCAAAAAUGAACAAGAAACCAACAAUUUAUUGUUUAAAGGUUGCCUUUGCUGUCCUCGUCUGGUGGAUCAAUUGGCACUUCAUGACGAGGCCUGUUGUACUUUUCACGAAGCUGCUUAAUUGGGAUAAAAUCUCCUGCUGUAUCUGCCCCAUAGAAUAAGAAUGAUAUAUAGGGAUGAUCAAACCUGCCCAAAUCUGGUCUCUCAGGGCCUACUAAAUUUUCCUCAGCAACAUAAGCCACCAGUAGAUUGGGAUCCGCAUGUACAUCAACCAAAACCUGAUAAAAUGGCUGAUUAGUACCCCGAGACAACUUUUCAACCUGAGCAGUUUCCAUCCAUGAACUUGACUCACAGCAUGUUGGAUCCAUUCCACAAACCACAGCUCGAUAGCCUACAAUCAUAAUAUAGACUUCAGUAAUCAAAACAAUGAGGAAAAGAGAGAAAAUGAGGCCCAAAAAUGAAGAGAAGACAUCCCCUGAUCAACUUUAGUUUAGAUAUCAUGGAGCAUCCAAGAACUUCCAUAUGGUAUUCUGUAUGUACUAUGUUGGGGCUUUUUUCUAAUGUAAAAAAGGAAACCAUGUUAUCUUCAUACUAAGAUAAUCCAAUAAUGCCAAUAAAGUAUAAAUUGAAAUGCAGCCAGAGGCACUGGCAUCCUUCAAAGAGGAAACAGUGUCAACAGACAGAAAUGAACGUACAAAUCAAAUGUAUGAAGUUGCUGUACAUGAAUUAUUGACUUAUUAGGAUUAUUAACAUAUUUAAAGAAAGGCUAAUGUAGAGAUGUUGGAGUUUGUUAUAAAUGCAAGCUCUACACUGCCAUGGGCUUGUGGAGAGAGUGGAGAGCAAUUGGUUGUCUUGUCACAAUGGGAUAAAUAAAUUCCCAAUUCUACAAUUGCAAUAUGAUUUUUCUUAUCUUCAAGCGUCUACAUAAUCUGUAGGAAAGUUUAUUUCAACUGGUUAACAUCGAAUUCACAAUCUUGAUGGACUUUAUUGCACAAAUUGGACCUCAGGUAGGAGGUGAAACUGCAAACAAAUAAAAGAAUAACAUGCAGUGGAGACCAUGUUUACAUACCAAAAAUCUUGUGAGACACUUUUUGUCCUAAACGAAAUGCAUACUGUGCAUUUUCAUAGGCAAGAGCUUUUGCUGAUGCAGCUAAAGACUCAGCCUCCAAUUUGGAAAUUUGAUCCCGUAAUUGAGCUGCCAUAGCAUAAUUCUCAUUCUCAAUUGCAUUCUGCAGGUCUGCACGUAGUCGUAUGAUACUUAAAGCCUUAUCUUGAGCUUCACUCUUUGAGGAUGAUCCCCUUGUUGCUUCCUGUUGUCGAAUAACCUCUUCUUCAACCUCGGUAAGCUUGUUUCUAAGUUGUUGUGCAAUGUCAUACUGCUCCAUAUUCAGAGCGUACUGAACUCGAGUUGCUAAGUCAAGCUGAAAAAAGAAAAUCAAGAUAUCCUCAUUAGCAUUUUCACUGCGCUCACGGCUUGCAUCCCACUCUUGGUUGCCCCCUUUGCUGAACAGCCAUCCAGCUUCAACCCUUAAAUUUCCCCCUCUUAAUAUGUUGGGGUUACCCGUAAGGAAUAAGCUUGGAACAAAUUGAUGCGAAGGACAUUGCUUAUCAGUCCCGAAGGCUCUACGGGUUUUCCUUAUUAGAUUGAAUUGCCUCCUCCAUGAUGGGGUAGAAUCAUAAAUCCCACAGUUUCUAGAUACUGUUAGAGUGCUUAAUGACAGACUUUGCACCAUUUCUUUCAGGUAAUGAACUCCCCCUUCACAGCAUUAAAAGGCAGAGUAAAUUGCAGAAGCAAACGGGUUGAGCUAAGGAUGCCAGGCUUUGUGUUCUCGAGAAAAAGAAUCUUAAGACCGAUGCUGCGUCGCGGGAUUAGCUGCAACAGCAUCAAGCGUCUCACGCCGCAGAAUACUGACACGUUGC